RNAcentral lists this ribosomal RNA (253 nucleotides) under uncultured bacterium. RNAcentral describes it as "partial 16S ribosomal RNA". It matches the Rfam family "Bacterial small subunit ribosomal RNA", at positions 524 to 776 of the family's 1533-position model. The record is from RNAcentral.
UACGGGGGGGGCAAGCGUUGUUCGGAAUUACUGGGCGUAAAGGGCUCGUAGGCGGCCAACUAAGUCGGAUGUGAAAUCCCCAGGCUCAACCUGGGAACUGCAUCCGAUACUGGAUGGCUUGAAUUCGGGAGAGGGAUGCAGAAUUCCAGGUGUAGCGGUGAAAUGCGUAGAUAUCUGGAGGAACACCGGUGGCGAAGGCGGCAUCCUGGACCAACACUGACGCUGAUGAGCGAAAGCCAGGGGAGCAAACGGG